RNAcentral lists this ribosomal RNA (425 nucleotides) under uncultured bacterium. RNAcentral's name for it is "bacterial SSU rRNA". It matches the Rfam family "Bacterial small subunit ribosomal RNA", at positions 954 to 1378 of the family's 1533-position model. The record is from RNAcentral.
AUGGGAACGCGAAGAACCUUACCUACUCUUGACAUCCAGAGAACUUUCCAGAGAUGCUUUGGUGCCUUCGGGAACUCUGAGACAGGUGCUGCAUGGCUGUCGUCAGCUCGUGUUGUGAAAUGUUGGGUUAAGUCCCGCAACGAGCGCAACCCUUAUCCUUUGUUGCCAGCGGUCCGGCCGGGAACUCAAAGGAGACUGCCAGUGAUAAACUGGAGGAAGGUGGGGAUGACGUCAAGUCAUCAUGGCCCUUACGAGUAGGGCUACACACGUGCUACAAUGGCGCAUACAAAGAGAAGCGACCUCGCGAGAGCAAGCGGACCUCAUAAAGUGCGUCGUAGUCCGGAUUGGAGUCUGCAACUCGACUCCAUGAAGUCGGAAUCGCUAGUAAUCGUAGAUCAGAAUGCUACGGUGAAUACGUUCCCGGG